UACGUAGGGUCCGAGCGUUGUCCGGAAUUACUGGGCGUAAAGAGCUCGUAGGUGGUUUGUCGCGUUGUUCGUGAAAACUCACAGCUCAACUGUGGGCGUGCGGGCGAUACGGGCAGACUGGAGUACUGCAGGGGAGACUGGAAUUCCUGGUGUAGCGGUGGAAUGCGCAGAUAUCAGGAGGAACACCGGUGGCGUAGGCGGGUCUCUGGGCAGUAACUGACGCUGAGGAGCGAGAGCGUGGGGAGCGAACAGG
RNAcentral lists this ribosomal RNA (253 nucleotides) under uncultured bacterium. RNAcentral's name for it is "partial 16S ribosomal RNA". It matches the Rfam family "Bacterial small subunit ribosomal RNA", at positions 524 to 776 of the family's 1533-position model. The record is from RNAcentral.